RNAcentral lists this unclassified non-coding RNA (2061 nucleotides) under Manduca sexta (tobacco hornworm). RNAcentral describes it as "protein-lysine methyltransferase METTL21D-like, transcript variant X1". Lineage: Eukaryota; Metazoa; Arthropoda; Insecta; Lepidoptera; Sphingidae. The record is from RNAcentral.
ACGCUUAAUACGAUUUCUCGCAUAAUACGCCAUUUUGCAUCAGUCCCUGCAACUUGAGACAUCUUUUCAUACAUUCUUUAACGCAUAAUACGAUUCGUCAUCCCGUUUAAUACGCCCUAACGCCAACACAUAUUACCUCUGCGGUAGCGGCCAGCGGACUGACUGAACUGCGGCGAACUACAAAAGUUAAACUACGUUGAAAAUCUUGUAAUUGCUAAUGCCUCAAAAUCUUUUUGUCAAACUAAAAUAAGUGAUUAUUUUAAAUAACGUGAUAGAUACACAGCAUUUUAUACAACGUACAUAAUUUUUAAAUUUACAAUUCAAUACUUAAUAUUAAUUCAAACUUAUGUAGUAGAUCCGUUUUUUAUUUCCCUAUAUCCCGCAUAAUACGCUUUCCCGCUUAAGACGCGUUUUUGGUUGAGUCCCUGUGAAAUCGUCUUAAACGGGUUUUACUGUAUAUUAUAAUUCUCUUUGGUUUGUCGGUUUCAUUCUGCUUAUAAAAAAAUGAAGGUUAAUUUAAUAAUCUUAUAAAAUCUGAUUUAUUUUAAAAUUAAAUUAUUUAUUAAGUUUAAAGUAUUAAAUUGAACAGCCUAUAAUUGCUAUUUAUUCGACAAAUAAAUCAUAAAAAAAUAAAUUGUGAAGUUGAGAAAUCAGUUGUCCGUAAUAAUUUUUUGUUCUAAUCUUAUGUAUUUACUAUGAAACGAAAUGUCUCGCAGAAAACCUAGUUUUCUUACCAAUGAUUUGUUUCCGAGAGAAAUCGAUAUCGAAGUAUGUUUGAAAACAUUAAAAAUAUAUCAAAAAAUUGAAGGUGAUGUAAACUGUGUUGUAUGGGAUGCUUCUCUAGUAUUGGCAAAAUAUCUUGAAACUAUGUGUCACCAGAAAUCAGAUUUUCUAAGCGGUAUAAAAGUUUUGGAGCUGGGAGCUGGGCUAGGGGUUGUGGGCCUUGCAGCUGCUACUUUAGGGUUAGUAAGCAAUUUAGUAACAUCUUAGAUGUGUAAUUCUUAAAUAAAUUGGCAUUUUUACUAUUAUAUUAGAAUUAAGACAUUUGGUUUUGGGAAAGUACAGAGCCAGAAAUUCCAAGAGCCCAAGUAACACUUACAGACUUACCUGAGGCAAUGACUUUGCUUCGUUUAAAUAUAAAUGAAAACAAGGCAAAAAUCUCCAGUAUGGGAGGAUAUGCCACGGCAGAAUCUCUUGUUUGGGGCGAAGGCAGUUCAGAGAUAUAUAAAGAUGAAUGGGACAUGAUUGUAUUAGCUGAUUGCGUGUACUAUGAAGAGCGCAACAUCCUUCCCUGUGAUUGAGUGCCUUCAACCUUGUCCUAGAUGACAAGACAUUCUAUGGACUGGUUGCCUUGCCUAGAAACAUGUCUAAUGAAAUCAAGAAUGCAGGACUGUAUUAAGGCGGAUAGACACUUAAAGAAAUAUAUACAUAUUAUAAAAUAAACUCACCUGUAUUAAUAUGAUAAACUCAAAUACUAUCCAAUGGAUUUUGAUGAAAUUUGGUAUAGAGGUAGUUUGAGAACCUGGGGAGGACAUAAGCUACUUCUAUCCUGGAAAAUUAUACUCUAUGUAGAUCCAAUAUAAAAAUUCCUUUAAGCUCAUUUAAAGUUGGUAUGAUAUCACUUAUUUAAGCUGAAAUUAAACUUGGAAAGUUUUGUUUUUAAACAUUGUGACAGAUUUUUCUAAUUGAAAUUAUAUAUGUAAUUAUUUAAAUAAUUUUAUAAAUAAUAAGUUUACCCUCAUAAUCGAAAUCACGACGAGAACCGCAAGGGACAGGGAAUAAUGCUAAAUGCUGGAGGCCUUCUGACAAAAGAACUAACUUUAAAGAGGACUGCUGUGGAAGACAGCUAAAGCUAUUGACCCAUUGAUAGAAACACUGCAAAAUUUAAAUUCUUCAACUAAUAAGAGGAUGGUCAUAUAUUUGACUCAAGAACUCCGAGAUUCAGAAGUACAGAAGCAAUUAUGGGACAAAUUUUAUACAAAAUUGACUAAUAUUUUUAAUGUAAUAAAAAUACCAGAAGAGGAACAACAUGCCAAUUAUCGAAGUGAAGAUAUCAUAUUA